AAUUUUCGGUCAAUGGAGGUAGCCGCCUCUCCUCUUCCAGAAAUGCCUUCUUUCUCUUUCAUCCACCCAUAUUCUCGAUCAAUUUGGUGCUCCUCUUCCAGAAAUUUUCGGUCAAUUGAGGCUUGCGACGCCUCUCCUCUUCCAGCCACUCCCUCCUUCUCUCUCGUCUGUUGAAGGCCGGUGCUCACCGCCACCGCCGAUCCGGCGAUCUCCGCCGUCUCCACACCGAUUGCCGACUUUCCCUUCGCAUUUUUCCGGUUAUCUUCCCACCAAUCGGGAUAUCCGACGAGCCGAAAGCACAUCUCCUUCGUAUGUCGCUGCAUCCCACAGUGACUACAAUGGAGUUUCGAUUUAUCUACCUUCUUUCGCGAUGAUGGGGCGUCGGUUUGGUAUGUCUGAGAUCUUGCGGUGGUGUUCUGUUGUUGGGCUCCUUCCGGCCGUGAGAAAGGAGGUCGAGAGGUGGUGAGGCCAACGCCGAUUCCUCCCGAUGAUGUAACUUCAGAGUCGGUGGGGAAAGUUGCCGGCUGUAAGAUCAGAAGCCGGGCGGCCUCCCUCCGUACUUUCGAAAAUGCCGACUCGGCUGAGGGAGAGGGAGAUUCCUUAAGGAUAUCUCGCCGGAUUCCGUCAUACUUCGCAUUUAAUCCGGAAAGAAAUUGAUAGAGGCGGCGAUUCUCGAUUAAUUUCCGGUACUUUGAGAUUCCUUCCUCGCAACAGCCGAUAGGAUUGGGCUCUCUUCGAUCAAUAUUGAGCCAAAUGGUCUGUAGAUUACUCCAGUAGUCUUCCAAGGAAGGGAAAGACCGAGAUUGGUCAAGGCAGAUGGCUGUAUUGGUCGAGGUAAAAGGUUUGAGGGUAUGGAACGAUGAUGAGAAAAAAAACUGAGUUCCAAGAUUAAUCCUGCUCUGAUACCAUGUUUUCACAUGAUAUUGACAUUGAUAAAGAAAAGAUAGGUAAAGAUUGUUUAGCUUGUAUUGCUUCUAAUUAUAUUUCUUGGAUUUACAAUCAUUCAUUUAUACUACAAAAUGUAAGAUCAUAGUCGUACAAAAAUCCCUAUGAUUAAGGGAUUUUUGUUCAUUCCUGACUUUGCAUGCUCCAUUUAUUGCUUUGUUCAUUUUUGACUUUGUAGA
Molecule: long non-coding RNA, 1124 nt
Organism: Salvia miltiorrhiza (redroot sage)
Lineage: Eukaryota; Viridiplantae; Streptophyta; Magnoliopsida; Lamiales; Lamiaceae
Exons: 2
Source: RefSeq, a predicted model, not a curated record